AGCGAACGCUGGCGGCAGGCCUAACACAUGCAAGUCGAACGAACCUUUCGGGGUUAGUGUCGGACGGGUGAUUAACACGUUGGAACGUGCCUUUAGGUUCGGAAUAACUCAUGGAAACUUGUGCUAAUACCGAAUUUUCCCUUCGGGGGAAAGAUUUAUCGCCUUUAGAGCGGCCCGCGUCUGAUUAGGUAGUUGGUUGUGGUAAUGGCUCACCAAGGCGACGAUCAGUAGAUGGUCUGUGAGGAUGAUCAGCCACAUUGGGACUGAGAAACGGCGCAAACGCCGACGGGAGGCAGCAGUGGGGAAUGUUGCGGAAUGGGCGAAAGCAUGACGCAGCCAUGACGCGUGAAUGAUGAAGGUGUUAGGAUAGUAAAAUUAUUUCACAGGGGACGAUAAUGACGGUAACGGGAGAAGAAGCAACGGCUAACUUCGUG
This 434-nucleotide ribosomal RNA is filed under the name uncultured bacterium. RNAcentral's name for it is "partial 16S ribosomal RNA". It matches the Rfam family "Bacterial small subunit ribosomal RNA", at positions 29 to 507 of the family's 1533-position model. The record is from RNAcentral.